This 450-nucleotide ribosomal RNA is filed under the name uncultured bacterium. RNAcentral's name for it is "partial 16S ribosomal RNA". It matches the Rfam family "Bacterial small subunit ribosomal RNA", at positions 354 to 796 of the family's 1533-position model. The record is from RNAcentral.
GUGGGGAAUAUUGGACAAUGGGCGAAAGCCUGAUCCAGCCAUGCCGCGUGUGUGAAGAAGGUCUUCGGAUUGUAAAGCACUUUAAGUUGGGAGGAAGGGCAGUAAGUUAAUACCUUGCUGUUUUGACGUUACCGACAGAAUAAGCACCGGCUAACUUCGUGCCAGCAGCCGCGGUAAUACGAAGGGUGCAAGCGUUAAUCGGAAUUACUGGGCGUAAAGCGCGCGUAGGUGGUUUUGUAAGUUGGAGGUGAAAUCCCCGGGCUCAACCUGUGAACUGCCUCCAAAACUGCAUGACUAGAGUACGGUAGAGGGUAGUGGAAUUUCCUGUGUAGCGGUGAAAUGCGUAGAUAUAGGAAGGAACACCAGUGGCGAAGGCGACUACCUGGACUGAUACUGACACUGAGGUGCGAAAGCGUGGGGAGCAAACAGGAUUAGAUACCCGUGUAGUCC